AAGUCGUAACAAGGUUUCCGUAGGUGAACCUGCGGAAGGAUCAUUAAAAUAUAUUGACUACACUGUUUUUGAAGCAAAUACUAAUAACCAUUAUUUUUCAACAACCUAAAAAAAUCAAAACUUUCAACAACGGAUCUCUUGGUUCUC
RNAcentral lists this unclassified non-coding RNA (147 nucleotides) under fungal sp. RNAcentral's name for it is "partial internal transcribed spacer region". The stretch from base 1 to 46 matches the Rfam family "Eukaryotic small subunit ribosomal RNA", at positions 1786 to 1831 of the family's 1831-position model. Lineage: Eukaryota; Fungi. The record is from RNAcentral.